UGAGGAAUAUUGGUCAAUGGGCGGGAGCCUGAACCAGCCAAGCCGCGUGAGGGAAGAAGGCCCUAUGGGUCGUAAACCUCUUUUGUCAGGGAACAAAAGCGAGUAUGUAUACUAGUCUGAGUGUACCUGAAGAAAAACGCAUCGGCUAACUCCGUGCCAGCAGCCGCGGUAAUACGGAGGAUGCGAGCGUUAUCCGGAUUUAUUGGGUUUAAAGGGUGCGUAGGCGGCGAUGCAAGUCAGCGGUAAAAGCCCGGGGCUCAACCCCGGCGAGCCGUUGAAACUGCAGUGCUAGAGAAGGCGAGAGGUACGCGGAAUGCGCAGUGUAGCGGUGAAAUGCUUAGAUAUUGCGCAGAACUCCGAUUGCGAAGGCAGCGUACUGGCGCCUGACUGACGCUGAGGCACGAAAGCGUGGGGAUCGAACAGGAUUAGAUACCC
RNAcentral lists this ribosomal RNA (435 nucleotides) under uncultured bacterium. Its description in RNAcentral is "bacterial SSU rRNA". It matches the Rfam family "Bacterial small subunit ribosomal RNA", at positions 355 to 787 of the family's 1533-position model. The record is from RNAcentral.